GGUGAAAUGGCUGAGGUGUAAGCGAUAGGCUGUAAACUUAUUGACGAAUUAAAUUCUUUUACC
This 63-nucleotide transfer RNA is filed under the name Dorcus tenuihirsutus. Its description in RNAcentral is "tRNA-Tyr". It matches the Rfam family "tRNA". Rfam says of the family: Transfer RNA (tRNA) molecules are approximately 80 nucleotides in length. Their secondary structure includes four short double-helical elements and three loops (D, anti-codon, and T loops). Further hydrogen bonds mediate the characteristic L-shaped molecular structure. tRNAs have two regions of fundamental functional importance: the anti-codon, which is responsible for specific mRNA codon recognition, and the 3' end, to which the tRNAs corresponding amino acid is attached (by aminoacyl-tRNA synthetases). tRNAs cope with the degeneracy of the genetic code in two manners: having more than one tRNA (with a specific anti-codon) for a particular amino acid; and 'wobble' base-pairing, i.e. permitting non-standard base-pairing at the 3rd anti-codon position. Lineage: Eukaryota; Metazoa; Arthropoda; Insecta; Coleoptera; Lucanidae. The record is from RNAcentral.